RNAcentral lists this ribosomal RNA (481 nucleotides) under Lysobacteraceae bacterium. Its description in RNAcentral is "bacterial SSU rRNA". It matches the Rfam family "Bacterial small subunit ribosomal RNA", at positions 372 to 844 of the family's 1533-position model. Lineage: Bacteria; Pseudomonadati; Pseudomonadota; Gammaproteobacteria; Lysobacterales; Lysobacteraceae. The record is from RNAcentral.
UGGGCGCAAGCCUGAUCCAGCCAUGCCGCGUGGGUGAAGAAGGCCUUCGGGUUGUAAAGCCCUUUUGUUGGGAAAGAAAAGCAGUCGGCCAAUACCCGAUUGUUCUGACGGUACCCAAAGAAUAAGCACCGGCUAACUUCGUGCCAGCAGCCGCGGUAAUACGAAGGGUGCAAGCGUUACUCGGAAUUACUGGGCGUAAAGCGUGCGUAGGUGGUGGUUUAAGUCCGUUGUGAAAGCCCUGGGCUCAACCUGGGAAUUGCAGUGGAUACUGGGUCACUAGAAUGUGGUAGAGGGUAGCGGAAUUCCCGGUGUAGCAGUGAAAUGCGUAGAGAUCGGGAGGAACAUCCGUGGCGAAGGCGGCUACCUGGACCAACAUUGACACUGAGGCACGAAAGCGUGGGGAGCAAACAGGAUUAGAUACCCUGGUAGUCCACGCCCUAAACGAUGCGAACUGGAUGUUGGGUGCAAUUUGGCACGCAGU